RNAcentral lists this ribosomal RNA (230 nucleotides) under uncultured bacterium. Its description in RNAcentral is "partial 16S ribosomal RNA". It matches the Rfam family "Bacterial small subunit ribosomal RNA", at positions 563 to 791 of the family's 1533-position model. The record is from RNAcentral.
AAGCGCGCGUAGGUGGUUUGUUAAGUUGGAUGUGAAAGCCCCCGGGCUCAACCUGGGAACUGCAUCCAAAACUGGCAAGCUAGAGUAUGGUAGAGGGUGGUGGAAUUUCCUGUGUAGCGGUGAAAUGCGUAGAUAUAGGAAGGAACACCAGUGGCGAAGGCGACCACCUGGACUGAUACUGACACUGAGGUGCGAAAGCGUGGGGAGCAAACAGGAUUAGAUACCCCAGU